Long non-coding RNA from Seriola aureovittata, 1807 nucleotides. RefSeq lists it as uncharacterized. The transcript is spliced from 2 exons. NCBI's taxonomy places the organism in Eukaryota, Metazoa, Chordata, Actinopteri, Carangiformes, Carangidae. The record is from RefSeq and is a predicted model, not a curated record.
AAGAAGACUCAUCUCUACAGACCAUAGACUACUACAGGCUGAGUAAUCCAGGUAGGGGGAGGGAACUGUGGGAAGACGCAGGAGAGGGAAGCAGGAGAUUUCCACAGACACACACAAACCUUCUGAGGGAAAGAUUAGCCGUAGGUUGUGGGUAUUUAUUGUGCUUGUUUUCGGAUUUGAUGAGUUCGGAGUCUGAAUUGUGAGUGUUUCGACGGAGGUGGAGAAGUUUGUGUCACAGAAAAAGAUGCGACCGCUGAACGUUGAACAUGCUGCCGACGAGAGAGAUGAUGAGCUGCCAGCAGCAUCAACAGCACACAGAUGUCUCCAUGGAGGUAACAUGGGAAGAGGGGGGUUCAGGCCGGGUCAAGAUCUCCACAAGCCCAGUCAGCACAGCCAGACCACAACUCCGAGCCCAGGAAUACCACUAAUGAUCCUGAUACUGCGCCACGAACCAGUUGAACCCCAGGUGAACACACAUUCCACACAUUCACCAUUGUGACACCUUUUUCAAGCAUGCAGCACAAAACCAGGAAAUGGGAAAGAUGUACAAAUGGGCUGACAUUGAAGUGGAGGAUCUCAACAAAUUCCUUGGUCUCCACAUAUACACAGCAAUGGUGUCUACUACUACCAAGUCUCUAUGACUGAUGGAGUUACAACCACAUCUUGUCUGUGCCUUUUCGAGCCACUGUCAUGACGAGACAGAUUCAGAGCGAUAACAUGGAACCUUUACCUCAGCGACCCAGAGGAUGUUGUCAAAAAUGACAGCAAGAAGGGAACACUGCAAUAUGACAAGCUGUUCAGAAUCAAGCCUCCGUAUGAUGACAUCCGCAAUGCCUGCCAAGCACAUUACCACCCAAGGAAGGAAUUGGCAGUUGACGAGAGAAUGGUGUCAACCAGAGCGAAAACUGGCAUGACCCAAAACAUGAAGGACAAGCCCACAAAAUGGAGGAUCAGGCUUUUUGUGUUGGCAGAGACGAGCAAUGACUACACCAUAAACUUCAACGUGUACGGAGGCAAGUCUCACACACCCAGUGAACACUGUCACAUGAUGCUGUCAUGGGCCUCAUUCAGCCAUCAUAUCUUGGGGCCAGAUACCAUAUUUAGGUGGACAGCUUUUACACCAGUCCCAAAAUCCAGAAGUUUGGAGCCUGAGGUACCUACAGGCACAACAGCAAAGGGUGCCCCAAUGGGAGAGCAAAUGCCCUCACCAAAACAGCAAAGAGAGGCACAGUGAGAUGGAUCAGAGAGGGGGCGCUGCUGUUUGUGAAGUGGAAGGACAAGCGGGAGGUGUCGGUGUGCUCCACAAUCCACCCAGCCGUGUCUGGUGAGACGGUGCAGAGGAGAGUGAAGGAUGCAAAUGCAAACUGGGCAGUGGAAAGCUGCUCCCACCCCCAUCAUUGCCUACAGUAAGAACAUGGGUAGGGUUGACCUAUCAAACCAUCUCAUCCAAUAUUACUACACCCACCGCAGGACUGCCCGCUGGUAUCGCACCCUGUUCCUGCACUUUGUGGACAUUGCUACAACAAACGCCUACAUUCUGCACCGUGAGCUCAGCUACGGACAGCAGGUACAGCACAAGAGCCACAAGAACAUCCUGGUGGAACUGGUGUCCCAGCUGUGUGGAGUGGACCAGACAGGAGCUCCCAUCAAGAGGAGCACCGACCAUGUUCCUGCUGCCUGUGCCAAGGUGACAGAAAGCCACUCACUGCCGCAGGACAGAAAAAAGAACCUGACUCCAUCGUUUUAAAAGGCUUCAUUUAGCAAGUUUGUGUUUUUUGUAAUUAAAAAAUCUAAUUUUGCAAAAUCA